AUGGAUGAUGAGAGUCAGAUAGGUUUCGCUAAUUAGGCUGAAUUCUUGUGAUGUCACUUCCUCUUGGCUGUCUGACCAA
This is a small nucleolar RNA of Pungitius pungitius (ninespine stickleback), 79 nucleotides long. RefSeq annotates it as small nucleolar RNA SNORD53/SNORD92. The record is from RefSeq and is a predicted model, not a curated record. NCBI's taxonomy places the organism in Eukaryota, Metazoa, Chordata, Actinopteri, Perciformes, Gasterosteidae. The transcript has a single exon.